Long non-coding RNA from Pezoporus occidentalis (night parrot), 1915 nucleotides. RefSeq lists it as uncharacterized. The transcript has 3 exons. Lineage: Eukaryota; Metazoa; Chordata; Aves; Psittaciformes; Psittacidae. The record is from RefSeq and is a predicted model, not a curated record.
ACUUUUGUGAUAUGCCUCUAUCUUAAUGAUGUUCUUGUUCCAGCUGAAGUCACUGAUGAAUUCUUUUCACUGUCUGAUAGUACUUCCAGGCUAUUUCAGUGUUUUUAAUAAUUAGAACACUCUGGUUAUGGAAGAUUCCUGCCAGUUCUUAGCUCCAAGGAACAAUCCUUUAUUUUAGCAGUGCUGUUUGCUGUAACAGAUACACCAAUUAAGUAUGAGAAAGGGUAAAACCAGCACCUCAGUUAGGUCAUGUUUAAUCCUAUUUUACAGCCACUUUUUGCUAUAAAGACACAGGCCUUGGAGUGGAAUGUAUUGAUCUCUAUAUGGAGGUCAGUGCAUGAAAAAAAAAUAUUAACACUGCAAAGAGCCACCCAAAAAACUAGCCAACACCAGAGUGAAGGUUCAUGGUCUCAAUGCAGUUUAACAUCCUUUGGUGCAAACAUUGCAGUCAUGUAAAAUGCCAUAGGACUAGGGCUUCUCUCACUGUGUGAGACCUGUGAAUGAGACCACUUUCCUCACCUUGAGUCCUAUCCCAGUUCUUCUCACCUUCCUCCAGGCAUUUUACUGCCUCCCACCUCCUCAUCCUCCAAGCUGUAGCAAGGUGUUCUGGCACUUAAUUCUCUUCUCCCUCCUUCCCCUAACUGGAUCCUCCCAGUUACUGCUUCUAUCUGUUGCUCACCAGCUGCCAUGGACCCCUCAGCACAGGAGAUCUCAGAGCACUACUGGACACCCUUGCCAGCAUGGCUGUGGCAUUUUUUGCCACCAAUCACAGUACUUCUUUCAUUGCUCCUGCUAUGGACUUGCUUUACCCAUUUGCUCCCUCUCCAGCAGGCUCAACUCUUGGCACUGUGCGUUCAAUUGAGUUUCCUUCAACCCAACCUGGGCAUAGUGAUGGGUUACUGCAAGGAGGAAAGAGAACAUCAUUGCUCAUGGCUCUGCUAGUUGACUUUGACCAUGAUACAGCAAAACUGCUCCACAGCUGCAGAGAAGACUGAACGGAGCUUGGGCUAGAUGUAGUGUCAGAUUCAGUGGCAAGAUUUGGGAAGGUGAAAAACUGAAGUGCAUUAACACUCCAGGCUAUGCUGCUGUUAAAAUUAAGCAGGAUUUUUCCCAUAUGUGCUCUUCAAGUGUGAUGUCCAAAGAUGCCAAGAAGUGUUUUUAUGAGCAGGUACUCAUGUGAAGGUGGAAGGAAAACACUGGAGAAGACAACACUUCUCAAUAUGUUUGGUAUCUUCAUAACCAUUCUAAAGUGAUGCCAGUUGGGGCUGCAGCUAUAGAGGCUCUUCACUUGCAGGAGAAAGGUAGAUGGUAGGUUGGUAUACUGUUCCACGCAGUUCUAUACAGUAUAUUGUGAGAGAGAACAAGACCAAGUGAUUUUACUGCUAUGUUCAACCACUCAGAAUAGUGUUUCUAAGCAAUAGCAAUUGUGUUAUACUUCUUUUUCACUUUACAUGUACAAGUUUUGAGUAGCAGAUACUAGCUAGAGAAGCAACAGAAAUAUGCAGGGAUAUACACAAGUAUUCCCCCAUAAAUGAGGCAACUGUUAAAACAUAAAUAGCUGUCUUGUGUGAAUCUGAAAAACUGCGUGUAUGGAGUAAAUUACCAUGAGCAUGAAAAAAAGAAACAAAAACAUUGCAAUGGGCAACAUUAGAAUGGCUUAGUUCUUUUACUGUGUUUGCAUGCUGUUCUACUUCAAAUCACUUAAGUCAAUAGAGAGAAAAGCUUUUGGGACUACUGGAUCUAUAAUACAAUAAAUAAAAAUACAACAUGACUCUAAAAUUUACCCAAGUAUGUGGAAUAGAUAAGCAACAUCCUAUCUUCAGCAAGAUUCUUCUUAACUUCCUUCUUUAUUUUUUAAUUUGGAAUCAAUAGCUAUACAUAUAAUGACAUUUGAAGAAUUAAGUUGUCGAAGGUA